UUAGGAAUUUUGCACAAUGGGGGAAACCCUGAUGCAGCAACGCCGCGUGGACGAAGAAGGCCUUCGGGUCGUAAAGUCCUUUUCAACGGGAAGAUACGGACGGUACCGUUGGAAUAAGCAUCGGCUAACUACGUGCCAGCAGCCGCGGUAAUACGUAGGAUGCAAGCGUUAUCCGGAUUUACUGGGCGUAAAGAGCGCGUAGGUGGUUUCGUAAGUUGGGCGUGAAGGCCCCCGGCUUAACUGGGGAGGGUCGUUCAAAACUACGAGACUUGAGGGUGGAAGAGGAGAUUGGAAUUCCCGGUGUAGUGGUGAAAUGCGUAGAUAUCGGGAGGAACACCUGUGGUGAAGACGAAUCUCUGGGCCACUCCUGACACUAAGGCGCGAAAGCGUGGGGAGCGAACGG
RNAcentral lists this ribosomal RNA (403 nucleotides) under uncultured bacterium. RNAcentral describes it as "bacterial SSU rRNA". It matches the Rfam family "Bacterial small subunit ribosomal RNA", at positions 355 to 775 of the family's 1533-position model. The record is from RNAcentral.